Molecule: long non-coding RNA, 496 nt
Organism: Plutella xylostella (diamondback moth)
Lineage: Eukaryota; Metazoa; Arthropoda; Insecta; Lepidoptera; Plutellidae
Source: RefSeq, a predicted model, not a curated record
CUAUGUAGUCAAUUGAGUGGUUUCUAAUAUUCGUUUGUCAUAGUUUUGUAUAAAAAUAACAAAUUUUCGGUAAAAUUAUCACUUGAAAAUUUAAGUCCUAACGAUGAAACUGAAUUUUUUACUGUUUGCUGUGCUUGCACUGGUCCUUGGCUCUGUAAUGAGUUUCAACCCAGGAGCAUUUCGUAAGAGAUUAGCAAAUGCUUCGAGUGAAGAUACUCAUAAUCAUAAGGGUCAAUUUCUUGGUGGAACUCUAACUCUGUUUUCGAAGCUUGCAGGAUAAUUAGUAUGGAACCUAAUACCACAAUAUGAUUCAGUUUGCUGCCUUCCUCGAUCAACGUAUUUUUUUUGAGGUUACGUUCCCAGUUUUUAAACUAUUUUUAGCCUACUGAAUCAUCGGAAAUGCCGGAUGGAUAAAUAAAUAUAUUGCUCAUACUUAUGUACUUUAAUUUGAUGUUUUAAUACCCUCAAAUAAAUGUUAUUUUAUUUCAUAUUCAUA